CGCGUAGGCGGCUUGGCAAGUCAGAUGUGAAAGCCCCGGGCUUAACCCGGGAAUUGCAUCUGAAACUGCUUUGCUUGAGUCCUGGAGGGGAUAGUGGAAUUCCCAGUGUAGCGGUGAAAUGCGUAGAUAUUGGGAGGAACACCUGCGGCGAAGGCGGCUAUCUGGACAGUGACUGACGCUGAGGCGCGAAAGCUAGGGGAGCGAACGGGAUUAGAUACCCCGGUAGUCCUAGCCGUAAACGAUGGGCACUUGGUGUUGGGGGUAUUGAGUCCCUCGGUGCCGGAGUUAACACGUUAAGUGCCCCGCCUGGGGAGUACGGUCGCAAGACUGAA
RNAcentral lists this ribosomal RNA (332 nucleotides) under uncultured bacterium. RNAcentral describes it as "bacterial SSU rRNA". It matches the Rfam family "Bacterial small subunit ribosomal RNA", at positions 568 to 898 of the family's 1533-position model. The record is from RNAcentral.